AUUGAACGCUGGCGGCAGGCCUAACACAUGCAAGUCGAACGGUAACAGGAAGAAGCUUGCUUCUUUGCUGACGAGUGGCGGACGGGUGAGUAAUGUCUGGGAAACUGCCUGAUGGAGGGGGAUAACUACUGGAAACGGUAGCUAAUACCGCAUAACGUCGCAAGACCAAGGAGGGGGACCUUCGGGCCUCUUGCCAUCGGAUGUGCCCAGAUGGGAUUAGCUAGUAGGUGGGGUAACGGCUCACCUAGGCGACGAUCCCUAGCUGGUCUGAGAGGAUGACCAGCCACACUGGAACUGAGACACGGUCCAGACUCCUACGGGAGGCAGCAGUGGGGAAUAUUGCACAAUGGGCGCAGGCCUGAUGCAGCCAUGCCGCGUGUAUGAAGAAGGCCUUCGGGUUGUAAAGUACUUUCAGCGGGGAGGAAGGGAGUAAAGUUAAUACCUUGGCUCAUUGACGUUACCCGCAGAAGAAGCACCGGCUAACUCCGUG
Molecule: ribosomal RNA, 490 nt
Filed under: uncultured bacterium
Lineage: Bacteria
Description: partial 16S ribosomal RNA
Rfam family: Bacterial small subunit ribosomal RNA
Source: RNAcentral